UACUCGGAUUUUGUUCCACGUGUAUUUCAGCAUCGCGAAUCGAUGAUUUCCACUCUGCGAUGCUUAUUACGGCGAUUCGUUUUUGAAAAAUUUGCAAAAUAUCAUUACUUAUUAUGUUACAUAACAUCGGGUUCAAAGGUGAUCAUCGUCACAAAAAUAUAAUAGAAGUAAAUUUUUUUAAAAAUAAUCAAAAGCAGAAAAUUUUUUUCAUUAAUCAUAAGAUCAUCAGCGCUCUAGGAUACUCGCGUCUUCAUUAAGAUGUUACCGAUAUCAAGGCAAAAAGUAUAGAGGAAUAUCGAUGAAACAUCUUUUAUAAUCAACCUAGUAGACAUCUUAUUAAUUACAGAGAUUACAGCAGGAAAACUAGGACAGGUGAAUAGGACAAGUACAGCAUGCUGCAGGUGGCGGUUUCUGUGACGAAUCAAAGUUGCUUAUGAUAAAUGAAUUUCUGAAUGAUCGAAUCAGCGGAAUUUUACAAGGCAAGUCACACCGAUGGCACGCAAAAUGGAAUCGUCAUCGACGGAAGAAAAAAGAACGUAAUUCUAUUCGAUAGUGUAAUGAUCAUCCUUACUACGUGGAUUAUUGAGAUUCUUUUCACGAUAUUUUGAAGAAACGUCACACGAUUGCCAGGGUGAUGGAGGCGCAGGGCAAAGUUUAAAGUGUAUAAAUUGACCUGAACACUGACAUUGCGCAGAACUAUUUUGUUCUCAAUGAAAAUUCUCUAAAAUUGUUCUUUGAUCUCCUUUUCCUUUGAAAAAUAUCUGAAUUCAACACUAUCCAUAGGACCCUCAAAUUCAAAUUUGAAACCUCAUUGAUAUUAUAUCGAUAUUAUAU
Molecule: non-coding RNA, 834 nt
Organism: Osmia lignaria (orchard mason bee)
Lineage: Eukaryota; Metazoa; Arthropoda; Insecta; Hymenoptera; Megachilidae
Source: RefSeq, a predicted model, not a curated record